Molecule: ribosomal RNA, 252 nt
Filed under: uncultured bacterium
Lineage: Bacteria
Description: partial 16S ribosomal RNA
Rfam family: Bacterial small subunit ribosomal RNA
Source: RNAcentral
UACGUAGGGUGCAAGCGUUAAUCGGAAUUACUGGGCGUAAAGCGUGCGCAGGCGGUUAUUUAAGUCUGGUGUUUAAACCUUGGGCUCAACCUGGGGUCGCACUGGAAACUGGGUAACUUGAGUACGGAAGAGGAAAGUGGAAUUCCACGUGUAGCGGUGAAAUGCGUAGAGAUGUGGAGGAACACCAGUGGCGAAGGCGACUUUCUGGGCUGUAACUGACGCUGAGGCGCGAAAGCGUGGGGAGCAAACAGG